RNAcentral lists this small RNA (16 nucleotides) under Arabidopsis thaliana (thale cress). RNAcentral's name for it is "ATSL232990". Lineage: Eukaryota; Viridiplantae; Streptophyta; Magnoliopsida; Brassicales; Brassicaceae. The record is from RNAcentral.
UUUAUCUUCUUCUUUU